RNAcentral lists this long non-coding RNA (412 nucleotides) under Parus major (Great Tit). Its description in RNAcentral is "lncRNA (ENSPMJG00000008080.1)". The record is from RNAcentral. Lineage: Eukaryota; Metazoa; Chordata; Aves; Passeriformes; Paridae.
GAGAGAAAAGACAAUCACCAGGCAUCUUGUGAACUUCUAGCAAUGGCUGCAGUGCAUUUAUUUUACACAGAAUUUUCUUACCUGAAGCUGUGGAGCCAAAGAUUGUAUUCUCCUCUCUGUUGUGCAUCUGAAUUUCUGCAAUGGCACUGCUUCAGAGGAGUUGAGUAGAGAAACAAACCUUAUAAGAUUUCACAAUACUAUUAAUGAUCUGGGAAUCUACAUGAUCUUUGUGAGUUUGACCCUGCUGGGCUUCUACACAAAACGAGGUUCCUGUCUCCUGAGGUGCCCUAAAGCUGAGGUCUGCCUUUCAUCUGGUAGCGAGAAACUGCUUCUCGAGGACAGCAAAGCAGCCUUUGUUCUGGUCCUUGUCAGACACAAUCUGUGUCUGGAGAAGUCUUAUUUCCAUGCAUAG